RNAcentral lists this ribosomal RNA (520 nucleotides) under uncultured Entrophospora. RNAcentral describes it as "SSU rRNA". It matches the Rfam family "Eukaryotic small subunit ribosomal RNA", at positions 569 to 1079 of the family's 1831-position model. The record is from RNAcentral. Lineage: Eukaryota; Fungi; Glomeromycota; Glomeromycetes; Entrophosporales; Entrophosporaceae.
AGCAGCCGCGGUAAUUCCAGCUCCAAUAGCGUAUAUUAAAGUUGUUGCAGUUAAAAAGCUCGUAGUUGAAUUUCGGGAUUGACACAUCGGUCGUGCCUUAAGGGGUAUGAACUGGUGUAGUCAAUUUCUCACCUUCUGGAGAACCGCGAUGCCCUUAAUUGGGUGUCACGGGGAACCAGGACCUUUACUUGAAAAAAUUAGAGUGUUUAAAGCAGGCAUUUUGCUUGAAUACAUUAGCAUGGAAUAAUAAAAUAGGACGGCAUGAUUCUAUUUUGUUGGUUUCUAGGAUCACCGUAAUGAUUAAUAGGGAUAGUUGGGGGCAUUAGUAUUCAAUUGUCAGAGGUGAAAUUCUUGGAUUUUAUUGAAGACUAACUACUGCGAAAGCAAUUUGCCAAGGAUGUUUUCAUUAAUCAAGAACGAAAGUUAGGGGAUCGAAGACGAUCAGAUACCGUCGUAGUCUUAACCGAUAAACUAUAGCCGACUAGGAAUCAGACGAUGUUAAUUUUUUAAUGUACUUCGU